Molecule: long non-coding RNA, 595 nt
Filed under: Prunus persica (peach)
Lineage: Eukaryota; Viridiplantae; Streptophyta; Magnoliopsida; Rosales; Rosaceae
Description: long non-coding RNA (PPER_LNC006954)
Source: RNAcentral
ACAGAAGAGACUGCACCAAGGCAUUAGACAUUAGAAACCAAUCCAGCAAGAAAAGACAGAAUAGAAUUAAAAGAAAAGACUUACCAAUCACUUCUCCAGCAUGAACAGACUGCCCACCUACGCUGGUCAAAGAAGGAUCUGAUACAGGCAGAAUAGACAUUAGAAAUCGAUCAUUAGGACAGAACGAAUCCCAGACAGAAUCAGAAAUCUACCUUCUAUGAUUUGCGCGUUGAUAUCCUUGAUAGUCUGGAUCAUAUGCGUCUUGGCAUCCCCACCCGCAAAAAUGACCCAGUUUUCCCAACCAUCGAACAGCACCUUGAGGGCAGUGACAGAAGCAGGCAGACUUUGGAAUCUGGCUUUCCACCAUGCGUCAAAGUCGGCAGAACUGCAGGAAUUCAGCUCCCACGAAGGAUAGAGGGCAUCCGUGCUGUUGUUGAUUUUGUUCACUGCACACCGGGCAUCCUUGUGCACCUACAGAUCAUCUGCAUCCCUCCAAGAAGAGGCCCGGUUACAACUCCGAUAUGAUUUCAGCGGAAUGAGUUGGGGACAACCAAGCUGCCUUGCGCAGAAGUUGGGAUGGUAGACUUCUGCCCCC